RNAcentral lists this long non-coding RNA (311 nucleotides) under Manihot esculenta (cassava). RNAcentral describes it as "long non-coding RNA (MESC_LNC009247)". Lineage: Eukaryota; Viridiplantae; Streptophyta; Magnoliopsida; Malpighiales; Euphorbiaceae. The record is from RNAcentral.
AACUAGAGCUUUCUUAUUAUUUAUUUCUCUUUUAUUUUAUUAUUCACUUAUUUUAAUUGCUUUUAGUAGUUUAUUAAUCAAAUCAAUCUCAAACCCCCCAUUUUACUUUUACUACAAUUUAUUUUUAUUCCGCUUUCAGUUUAUCUCAUUUUUUGUUUAUCUCAUUGUUUCAGUUUAUUUUAUUGGUCUUGUUGAGAAAAAUAAAUAAGUAAUCAAUUCUCUGUGGAUUCGAUCCUUCACCACUAUCUGCAGUUGUAAAUUGUUGAUAACCAAGAAGGUUAUUUUUUACCGGCUUCGACAACCGCGAGUCA